Molecule: ribosomal RNA, 596 nt
Filed under: uncultured bacterium
Lineage: Bacteria
Description: bacterial SSU rRNA
Rfam family: Bacterial small subunit ribosomal RNA
Source: RNAcentral
AAUGCCUAGGAAUCUGCCUGGUAGUGGGGGAUAACGUUCGGAAACGGACGCUAAUACCGCAUACGUCCUACGGGAGAAAGCAGGGGACCUUCGGGCCUUGCGCUAUCAGAUGAGCCUAGGUCGGAUUAGCUAGUUGGUGAGGUAAUGGCUCACCAAGGCGACGAUCCGUGACUGGUCUGAGAGGAUGAUCAGUCACACUGGAACUGAGACACGGUCCAGACUCCUACGGGAGGCAGCAGUGGGGAAUAUUGGACAAUGGGCGAAAGCCUGAUCCAGCCAUGCCGCGUGUGUGAAGAAGGUCUUCGGAUUGUAAAGCACUUUAAGUUGGGAGGAAGGGUUGUAGAUUAAUACUCUGCAAUUUUGACGUUACCGACAGAAUAAGCACCGGCUAACUCUGUGCCAGCAGCCGCGGUAAUACAGAGGGUGCAAGCGUUAAUCGGAAUUACUGGGCGUAAAGCGCGCGUAGGUGGUUUGUUAAGUUGGAUGUGAAAUCCCCGGGCUCAACCUGGGAACUGCAUUCAAAACUGACUGACUAGAGUAUGGUAGAGGGUGGUGGAAUUUCCUGUGUAGCGGUGAAAUGCGUAGAUAUAGGAAGG